GCUGUGAAUCCAGUAGGUCGGUUAAAGCAAGUCGGGGCCAAAUUAUCAAAACAAUUGAGGACAUCUUGUUUCAUUACUCAUACCCGUCCAAACAGCCUGGAGCGGCAGACGCGGGGAAUAAACAACAUUAACAAUUAACAUAAACAUAACAAUUGUAGUAACAAGUUGUUUAUUGGUAAACAUUGUAACACGUGCCGCGUUCAUAGUGAUUUUCGCGGGCGUCAUCAGUUGCUAAUGAGGGAACAUGGCGCGAAGGCUGAUAAUCCUCAUGAUGUGUGCAAUAAUAUUAUCCAGUGACGUCACGGGUUACAUACUCCAGUCAUCAGUGGGAACGACAAAAGAACACCAGACGACCAUUGAACAAAGGGCUCUGUCAAAAACUACGAACGUUUCGGAUGAUUACAGAAAAUAUAACUUUAUAUUGACGACAUAUUUAUAGGGACAUAUCAGUAGAAGGGACCCAUUACCCGUGAUAUUUGUAUUUUACUAAUUUUGUAUUAAAAUGAUGUUACCAUUUGA
Molecule: long non-coding RNA, 519 nt
Organism: Amyelois transitella
Lineage: Eukaryota; Metazoa; Arthropoda; Insecta; Lepidoptera; Pyralidae
Exons: 2
Source: RefSeq, a predicted model, not a curated record